AUUGAACGCUGGCGGCAGGCCUAACACAUGCAAGUCGAGCGGAUGAAGGGAGCUUGCUCCUGGAUUCAGCGGCGGACGGGUGAGUAAUGCCUAGGAAUCUGCCUGGUAGUGGGGGAUAACGUCCGGAAACGGGCGCUAAUACCGCAUACGUCCUGAGGGAGAAAGUGGGGGAUCUUCGGACCUCACGCUAUCAGAUGAGCCUAGGUCGGAUUAGCUAGUUGGUGGGGUAAAGGCCUACCAAGGCGACGAUCCGUAACUGGUCUGAGAGGAUGAUCAGUCACACUGGAACUGAGACACGGUCCAGACUCCUACGGGAGGCAGCAGUGGGGAAUAUUGGACAAUGGUCGAAAGCCUGAUCCAGCCAUGCCGCGUGUGUGAAGAAGGUCUUCGGAUUGUAAAGCACUUUAAGUUGGGAGGAAGGGCAGUAAGUUAAUACCUUGCUGUUUUGACGUUACCAACAGAACAAGCACCGGCUAACUUCGUG
Molecule: ribosomal RNA, 484 nt
Filed under: uncultured bacterium
Lineage: Bacteria
Description: partial 16S ribosomal RNA
Rfam family: Bacterial small subunit ribosomal RNA
Source: RNAcentral